This 262-nucleotide ribosomal RNA is filed under the name uncultured bacterium. RNAcentral describes it as "partial 16S ribosomal RNA". It matches the Rfam family "Bacterial small subunit ribosomal RNA", at positions 92 to 354 of the family's 1533-position model. The record is from RNAcentral.
UUAGUGGCGGACGGGUGAGUAACGCGUGGAAAACCUGCCGUAUACUGGGGGAUAACACUUAGAAAUAGGUGCUAAUACCGCAUAAGCGCNCAGCUUCGCAUGAAGCGGUGUGAAAAACUCUGGUGGUAUACGAUGGUUCCGCGUCUGAUUAGCUAGUUGGUGGGGUAAUGGCCUACCAAGGCAACGAUCAGUAGCCGGCCUGAGAGGGUGAACGGCCACAUUGGGACUGAGACACGGCCCAAACUCCUACGGAAGGCAGCAG